This 515-nucleotide ribosomal RNA is filed under the name uncultured bacterium. RNAcentral's name for it is "bacterial SSU rRNA". It matches the Rfam family "Bacterial small subunit ribosomal RNA", at positions 8 to 518 of the family's 1533-position model. The record is from RNAcentral.
AGAGUUUGAUUCUGGCUCAGAACGAACGCUGGCGGCGUGCUUAAUACAUGCAAGUCGAACGUGAUUCCCGACUUCGGUUGGGAUGAAAGUGGCGAACGGGUGAGUAACACGUAAGUAAUCUGCCUUCAAGUUUGGGAUAACCCUGCCAACGCGGGGCUAAUACCGGAUGUGGUCCAGCAGACCCAUGUUUGCGGGAUUAAAGGUCGCGAGACCGCUUGGAGAUGAGCUUGCGGCCCAUUAGCUAGUUGGUGAGGUAACGGCCCACCAAGGCAGGGAUGGGUAGCCGGCCUGAGAGGGUGUACGGCCACAUUGGGACUGAGAUACGGCCCAGACUCCUACGGGAGGCAGCAGUAGGGAAUUUUGCGCAAUGGACGGAAGUCUGACGCAAGCAACGCCGCGUGAAGGAUGAAGGCCUUCGGGUUGUAAACUUCUGUUGGAUAGGGAAAAAAGUCCUUUUAAGAGGAAUUGAUGGUACCAUUCGAGUAAGCACCGGCUAACUACGUGCCAGCCGCUGC